GCAUCUUGGCCUUCUCGGCCCAGGCGGCGGCGCCGGGGGUGAGCUCGUACAUGGUGUUGGCGAACGCGGUCGCCUUCCAGGUGGCGGUGGGGUCGUAGUACCCGCCGAUGGCGUACACCUUGCCGCCGGCAGAGGCGCAGGUGACGUCGCCGCGGGGGGCGGGAAGCUUCGGCGCGGUCGCCCACGCGGGGGUGGCAGCCUUCGUGUCGAGAACCUCGACGGUGUCCAAAACCUUGACCGGGUCGAUGGAGUUGUAGCCGGCGACGACGUAGAUCUUGCCGUCGACGACGCCCGCGCAGGUGUCGGAGCGACCUUCGGCGAGCUCCGGUCCGUAAGACCACGAGUCGUUGGUGAUGUCGUAGAUGAGCGUCGUCUUGAGCAUGCCGGUCACGGUGUCCGCGGUGAGGCCGCCGAUUAUGUAAAUCUUAUCGCCGACCACCGC
RNAcentral lists this long non-coding RNA (442 nucleotides) under Micromonas commoda. Its description in RNAcentral is "long non-coding RNA (MCOM_LNC000237)". The record is from RNAcentral. Lineage: Eukaryota; Viridiplantae; Chlorophyta; Mamiellophyceae; Mamiellales; Mamiellaceae.